UCUGCAGAUUUUAUGAAAAUUGGUUAUAUCUGGUUUUGUUAUAACAGCUGGCUCUUUUAAAACAAAACAAACAAAAAUCUUUUUAUUUCUAACUCCUAAGAAAUAGGAGAGACACAGUAUAAUAUUCUGACAAAAUAGGUUAGAAAUGGGCAAUAAGAUGAUCAUACUGAGUGGAGGUUUAAUUGACUCACAGUUCCAAAUAGCUGGGGAGGCUUCAGGAAACUUACAAUCAUUGCAGAAGGGGAAGCAAACACGUCCUUCUUCACAUGGUGGCAGUGAAAUCUAAGGGGAGGUUCCCAAACCUCAAUUCAUCACGCCUGUGUACUCACAGGACCAACACCAUGAGGAAGCUGCCAAGGCUUGAGGGUAGCACUCUCUGCCGCCAUUGCCUGAGCAGAAACUGUCCCCAUGAUUCAAUUAUCUCCACCUGGUACCACCCUUGACACUUCAAGAUGAGAUUUUGGGUGGGGACCAACAUGCCUGCUAAUUAAUCAUUUUUUUGUACUUUAGUAGACACAGUUCACCACAUUGGCCAGGCUGGUCUCAACUCCUGGCCUCAGGUGAUCCAGCUGCCUCAGCUUCCUAAAGUGCUGGGAUUAUAGGCAUGAGCCACCACAUCCAGCCUAAAAUAUAUUUCCUUUAACUUAUAAAAGCAGAUCCAGAAAUUUCAGUGUGUUAGU
This 680-nucleotide long non-coding RNA is filed under the name Pan troglodytes (chimpanzee). RNAcentral describes it as "long non-coding RNA NONPTRT011991". Lineage: Eukaryota; Metazoa; Chordata; Mammalia; Primates; Hominidae. The record is from RNAcentral.